UUGUAUAGUAAGUUUAUUGUAUAGUACUUGUAAGUAUAUUCGUAAAAGGUAAAACCAAAAUUUUACUCCUAUGGUAAAAUUUUUAUAUACCUAGACAUUGUAGUCACUGGAAAAUGUGUUAUUUUCCCUCCAACUUAGAAAGGCAAAAUAGCUGUCAUAAUAAAAAAUACAGGUGCUUCUUCAACUAUGGGGAGAGGGAUCAUCUUGGAAUAAGGAGAGUUUUAGGAUCCUGCCUUAUUAAGAACCUGGACAUAUUUAUAGAGGAAGUGUUCCAGGUAGGAAAUAUGGUUUUAAAAUAUGUGCACAUUCAAAAUAAUGACUUGCAAUAUACUUGCUUUGCUAGGAAACUGAAUAAAAUUACAAAAUUUAUUGAGGAGAAUAAAGAAAAAUUUACACAGCUAGAUUUGGAAGAUGUUCAAGUUAGAGAAAAAUUAAAACAUGCCACGAGUAAAGCCAAAAAACUGGAAAAACAACUUCAAAAAGAUAAAGAAAAGGUUGAAGAAUUUAAAAGUAUACCUGCCAAGAGUAACAAUAUCAUUAAUGAAACAACAACCAGAAACAAUGCCCUCGAGAAGGAAAAAGAGAAAGAAGAAAAAAAAUUAAAGGAAGUUAUGGAUAGCCUUAAACAGGAAACACAAGGGCUUCAGAAAGAAAAAGAAAGUCGAGAGAAAGAACUUAUGGGUUUCAGCAAAUCGGUAAAUGAAGCACGUUCAAAGAUGGAUGUAGCCCAGUCAGAACUUGAUAUCUAUCUCAGUCGUCAUAAUACUGCAGUGUCUCAAUUAACUAAGGCUAAGGAAGCUCUAAUUGCAGCUUCUGAGACUCUCAAAGAAAGGAAAGCUGCAAUCAGAGAUAUAGAAGGAAAACUCCCUCAAACUGAACAAGAAUUAAAGGAGAAAGAAAAAGAACUUCAAAAACUUACACAAGAAGAAACAAACUUUAAAAGUUUGGUUCAUGAUCUCUUUCAAAAAGUUGAAGAAGCAAAGAGCUCAUUAGCAAUGAAUCGAAGUAGGGGGAAAGUCCUUGAUGCAAUAAUUCAAGAAAAAAAAUCUGGCAGGAUUCCAGGAAUAUAUGGAAGAUUGGGGGACUUAGGAGCCAUUGAUGAAAAAUACGAUGUGGCUAUAUCAUCCUGUUGUCAUGCACUGGACUACAUUGUUGUUGAUUCUAUUGAUACAGCCCAAGAAUGUGUAAACUUCCUUAAAAGACAAAAUAUUGGAGUUGCAACCUUUAUAGGUUUAGAUAAGAUGGCUGUAUGGGCGAAAAAGAUGACCGAAAUUCAAACUCCUGAAAAUACUCCUCGUUUAUUUGAUUUAGUAAAAGUAAAAGAUGAGAAAAUUCGCCAAGCUUUUUAUUUUGCUUUACGAGAUACCUUAGUAGCUGACAACUUGGAUCAAGCCACAAGAGUAGCAUAUCAAAAAGAUAGAAGAUGGAGAGUGGUAACUUUACAGGGACAAAUCAUAGAACAGUCAGGUACAAUGACUGGUGGUGGAAGCAAAGUAAUGAAAGGAAGAAUGGGUUCCUCACUUGUUAUUGAAAUCUCUGAAGAAGAGGUAAACAAAAUGGAAUCACAGUUGCAAAACGACUCUAAAAAAGCAAUGCAAAUCCAAGAACAGAAAGUACAACUUGAAGAAAGAGUAGUUAAGUUACGGCAUAGUGAACGAGAAAUGAGGAACACACUAGAAAAAUUUACUGCAAGCAUCCAGCGUUUAAUAGAGCAAGAAGAAUAUUUGAAUGUCCAAGUUAAGGAACUUGAAGCUAAUGUACUUGCUACAGCCCCUGACAAAAAAAAGCAGAAAUUGCUAGAAGAAAACGUUAGUGCUUUCAAAACAGAAUAUGAUGCUGUGGCUGAGAAAGCUGGUAAAGUAGAAGCUGAGGUUAAACGCUUACACAAUACCAUCGUAGAAAUCAAUAAUCAUAAACUCAAGGCCCAACAAGACAAACUUGAUAAAAUAAAUAAGCAAUUAGAUGAAUGUGCUUCUGCUAUUACUAAAGCCCAAGUAGCAAUCAAGACUGCUGACAGAAACCUUCAAAAGGCACAAGACUCUGUCUUGCGUACAGAGAAAGAAAUAAAAGAUACUGAGAAAGAGGUGGAUGACCUAACAGCAGAGCUGAAAAGUCUUGAGGACAAAGCAGCAGAGGUCAUAAAGAAUACAAAUGCUGCAGAGGAAUCCUUACCAGAGAUCCAGAAAGAACAUCGCAAUCUGCUUCAAGAAUUAAAAGUUAUUCAAGAAAAUGAACAUGCUCUUCAAAAAGAUGCACUUAGUAUUAAGUUGAAACUUGAACAAAUAGAUGGUCACAUUGCUGAACAUAAUUCUAAAAUAAAAUAUUGGCACAAAGAGAUUUCAAAAAUAUCACUGCAUCCUAUAGAAGAUAAUCCUAUUGAAGAGAUUUCAGUUCUAAGCCCAGAGGAUCUUGAAGCGAUCAAGAAUCCAGAUUCUAUAACAAAUCAAAUUGCACUUUUGGAAGCCCGGUGUCAUGAAAUGAAACCAAACCUCGGUGCCAUCGCAGAGUAUAAAAAGAAGGAAGAAUUGUAUUUGCAACGGGUAGCAGAAUUGGACAAAAUUACUUAUGAAAGAGACAAUUUUAGGCAGGCAUAUGAAGAUCUUCGGAAACAAAGGCUUAAUGAAUUUAUGGCAGGUUUUUAUAUAAUAACAAAUAAAUUAAAGGAAAAUUACCAAAUGCUUACUUUGGGAGGGGACGCUGAACUCGAGCUUGUAGACAGCUUGGAUCCUUUCUCUGAAGGAAUCAUGUUCAGUGUUCGACCACCUAAGAAAAGUUGGAAAAAGAUCUUCAACCUUUCGGGAGGAGAGAAAACACUUAGUUCAUUGGCUUUAGUAUUUGCUCUUCACCACUACAAGCCCACUCCCCUUUACUUCAUGGAUGAGAUUGAUGCAGCCCUUGAUUUUAAAAAUGUGUCCAUUGUUGCAUUUUAUAUAUAUGAACAAACAAAAAAUGCACAGUUCAUAAUAAUUUCUCUUCGAAAUAAUAUGUUUGAGAUUUCAGAUAGACUUAUUGGAAUUUACAAGACAUACAACAUAACAAAAAGUGUUGCUGUAAAUCCAAAAGAAAUUGCAUCUAAGGGACUUUGUUGAACUUUAUGCUGAAGAUUCUUCAAGUUGAUUCAGUGUAUUACUGAUUUUUUUCUAUUUGUAAAGGAUUAUGAGUUGUAUAAAAUACAUACUCCUUAAACUAGAUCAUGAAACUGGUUUCUGUUUUAUGCAGCUGUCAUUUGUAAAGUCUAAUAAAAUAUUCUCUAUAAUUGCUUCUAGAUUACAAAAAUAUGACAAUCUUGUAAGUAGCAGACUAUGGAGAAAAAUGAGUUACCUGGAGGGUCAGGUAACUUGCCAAACUAAAAAGUAUGUUUGUUGAGGCAAAGUCCUAAGCAAGGUUGUGCUAUCAAGGCUCAGCAUAUCUUCGUGGGCCUUUGAUUUACCAACACUGGAAACGCCUGCCAACUAAUCUUGGAUAGAUUCUUUAAGGCAUUCCACUUAGCUUGCCAGUUGAGACAGUCACCACAGUUAUUACCCAAAUACUAUGAACAUAUUUUUGUAAACCAGUCAUUCUGAAUUAUAGUGAUGAGAAUUUAAAUAUAUGCUUUUCUAGAAUUUGAUGUUUGACCAUUUAUGACUUAAUUACCAGACAGCCAGUAAAUUAGGACAGUGUUUCAACAAGCCUAGGCUAUCUCGUAAGUUGAAAAAUAUCCCACUAUAGUUGCUUCAUGAGUAUGAAGUAAGAUGGCCUCUGAACACUGGUUCAAUUUACAAAUUUUCAACUUUAUGAUAGGUUUAUCUGGGUACUAAAUGCAUUUCAACUUGAUAGUUUCAACUUAUGAUAGGUUUACCAGGAUGUAGUCCCACUGUUGAGGAGCAUCUGUAUUUAGGGGUUAAUUACUUUAGUAAUAAGUGGAAAGUAAGAUACCUUGAGUAGUGUUUGCCUAUAAAAUUGUCAGCGUAUUUUUACACUAUUGGCUCAAGAAUGUUAUAAUGCUAUGGGACAUAAGUUGGCAACCAGUUGGUUUUUGGAAGGACUUUCGGUAUUGUAUUAGAAGUCUGCCCUAGCUGUUAAAUUUCUGGGUAUUUAUCCUAAGGAAUUAAUUAAAGAGUUAACUGUUCCUUUCUUCAGUGGGCCAUGUUUUAGAUAUUUAAAAAAUCCAACAGUUUAUCAUCACGUAACUGUAAAAAUGUAAACACAUUAUUAGCAUGGACUUUUAAAUAAAGAUUUAAAGAAAGCAAG
RNAcentral lists this small RNA (4230 nucleotides) under Pan troglodytes (chimpanzee). Its description in RNAcentral is "retained intron". Lineage: Eukaryota; Metazoa; Chordata; Mammalia; Primates; Hominidae. The record is from RNAcentral.